Molecule: ribosomal RNA, 467 nt
Filed under: uncultured bacterium
Lineage: Bacteria
Description: partial 16S ribosomal RNA
Rfam family: Bacterial small subunit ribosomal RNA
Source: RNAcentral
GACGAACGCUGGCGGCGUGCUUAACACAUGCAAGUCGAACGGAAAGGCUCCAGCUUGCUGGAGUACUCGAGUGGCGAACGGGUGAGUAACACGUGGGUAAUCUGCCCUGCACUCUGGGAUAAGCCUGGGAAACUGGGUCUAAUACUGGAUAUGACCUUUCUCCUUAUGGGGUUUGGUGGAAAGUUUUUCGGUUUAGGAUGAGCCCGCGGCCUAUCAGCUUGUUGGUGGGGUGAUGGCCUACCAAGGCGUCGACGGGUAGCCGGCCUGAGAGGGUGAUCGGCCACAUUGGGACUGAGAUACGGCCCAGACUCCUACGGGAGGCAGCAGUGGGGAAUAUUGCACAAUGGGCGGAAGCCUGAUGCAGCGACGCCGCGUGAGGGAUGACGGCCUUCGGGUUGUAAACCUCUUUCAGCAGGGACGAAGCGUAAGUGACGGUACCUGCAGAAGAAGCACCGGCUAACUACGUG